Molecule: ribosomal RNA, 253 nt
Filed under: uncultured bacterium
Lineage: Bacteria
Description: partial 16S ribosomal RNA
Rfam family: Bacterial small subunit ribosomal RNA
Source: RNAcentral
UACGGAGGGUGCAAACGUUGCUCGGAAUCAUUGGGCGUAAAGCGCACGUAGGCGGUCGGCUAUGUCGGAUGUGAAAGCCUCGGGCUUAACCCGAGAAGGGCAUCCGAAACUGGCCGGCUUGAGUACGGAAGAGGGUCUCGGAAUUCCCGGUGUAGAGGUGAAAUUCGUAGAUAUCGGGAGGAACACCAGUGGCGAAGGCGGAGACCUGGGCCGAUACUGACGCUGAUGUGCGAAAGCGUGGGGAGCAAACAGG